RNAcentral lists this microRNA (19 nucleotides) under Zea mays. RNAcentral describes it as "microRNA miR-3208". Lineage: Eukaryota; Viridiplantae; Streptophyta; Magnoliopsida; Poales; Poaceae. The record is from RNAcentral.
AAAUACUAAGGUAUAUGUG